AAUGAACGUUGGCGGCAUGGAUUAGGCAUGCAAGCCGAGCGAGAAGGGUUUUGAAGCUUGCUUUGAAACCCGGAAAGCGGCGCAAGGGAGAGUAACGGGUAGUUAUCUACCCCAAGGCCCGGAAUAGCUGCGGGAAACUGCAGGUAAUGCCGGAUAAUAUCCCCGGAUCAAAGGUGUGAUUCCGCCUUGGGAGGAGACUGCUUUGUACUAGCUAGUUGGUAGGGUAAUGGCCUACCAAGGCUACGAUGCAUAGCGGGCGUGAGAGCGUGGCCCGUCUCACUGGGACUGAAACACUGCCCAGACACCUACGGGUGGCUGCAGUCGAGAAUCUUCGGCAAUGGGCGAAAGCCUGACCGAGCGAUGCCGCGUGCGGGAUGAAGGCCCUCGGGUUGUAAACCGCUGUCGUAGAGGAGAAAGGUCUGAUGAAGAAUCAGAUUUGAUCUAUUCUAGGAGGAAGUCCGGGCUAAGUUCGUGCCAGCCGCCGCCGUAA
This 490-nucleotide ribosomal RNA is filed under the name uncultured bacterium. RNAcentral describes it as "partial 16S ribosomal RNA". It matches the Rfam family "Bacterial small subunit ribosomal RNA", at positions 29 to 523 of the family's 1533-position model. The record is from RNAcentral.